This 460-nucleotide ribosomal RNA is filed under the name uncultured bacterium. RNAcentral describes it as "partial 16S ribosomal RNA". It matches the Rfam family "Bacterial small subunit ribosomal RNA", at positions 338 to 795 of the family's 1533-position model. The record is from RNAcentral.
CCUACGGGAGGCAGCAGUGAGGAAUAUUGGUCAAUGGACGAGAGUCUGAACCAGCCAAGUAGCGUGAAGGAUGACUGCCCUAUGGGUUGUAAACUUCUUUUAUAUGGGAAUAAAACGUUCCACGUGUGGGAUUUUGUAUGUACCAUAUGAAUAAGGAUCGGCUAACUCCGUGCCAGCAGCCGCGGUAAUACGGAGGAUCCGAGCGUUAUCCGGAUUUAUUGGGUUUAAAGGGAGCGUAGGUGGAUUGGUAAGUCAGUUGUGAAAGUUUGCGGCUCAACCGUAAAAUUGCAGUUGAAACUGGCAGUCUUGAGUACAGUAGAGGUGGGCGGAAUUCGUGGUGUAGCGGUGAAAUGCUUAGAUAUCACGAAGAACUCCGAUUGCGAAGGCAGUUCACUGGACUGCAACUGACACUGAGGCUCGAAAGUGUGGGUAUCAAACAGGAUUAGAUACCCUAGUAGUC